Long non-coding RNA from Oreochromis niloticus (Nile tilapia), 2960 nucleotides. RefSeq lists it as uncharacterized. Lineage: Eukaryota; Metazoa; Chordata; Actinopteri; Cichliformes; Cichlidae. The record is from RefSeq and is a predicted model, not a curated record. The transcript is spliced from 2 exons.
GAAAUUUUGAGAAAAUAACUCGAAAUUUUGAGUUAUGGAUACUUUUUUUUCUUUAGUGGCGAAAACGGGCUUCCAUAUGAGGCUGUUCUGCAAGACAUAGCAAACUUUGCAUGAUCUUAUAAAAGUCUACUGUCUACUGGCUAUGAUAUGACAAAGACACUGACAAAAAAGUAAAAUUAGAGAAACAUGAGUGAGGAGAGACAAGAUGAGAGCAAUGGUACGUGGAGACCACUUGCAAAACUAUCACCUGUUGGAUGUUGUUUUAUUGUUGCUUCUCCAAUGCACAUAUGUGUCUGUGUCGGUUCUCAGUCAUCCAGGUCAGGUAGUCUUGAGAGUUUACAAAAAGACAACUUCCAGUUAUUGUUGUUUAUCAAGUGUUCCCUUUUUUGAGAAGCCUAGAAUAAAUAGACUUUUUAAAAUGAAAGUCGAGCCCUGGUAUUCGCAGGGGUUAGGGACCAAAACCGUGAACACGUGAGACCUCUCUAAAAAUGCUCAAAACUGCCUAUUUUAACAGUUCAAACACAAAAUAUACCUUAAGCUAUCAUCCUAAAACACUUUGCAAAUGCCAGCCAAUAGGGUGUAAGUAGCAUUGUGCCUAUUUCAGCUUCCCAAAGCUGCAUUUUCUUUCCUGGAAGCUUUGUGUUUCGAAUUUCCACAUAAUUUUUAAAGAAAAAAAACAUUUUAUUGCUAUUUUACUGUGUUUACAUUAAUAUUAAUAUUUGAAAAUGAGUAAAUAAUGAUUUUUAUCAUUCAAAAAUUUAUUUAGUCAUAAAAAAUAAAAUGAAAAUAACCAGCAAAUACUUCAGAUAUGCUGUAUGAAAAAAAAUUGCCAAUAGGUGAAUUUCCCGCAAAUAAUUUUUUUCCACAGAAAAAUCAACGAAUAGGCUGUGGUCAACUGUACAUUCAUGAAACGUCACACCUUACGCCCCAGCAGAAUGACUAACAACAGGAAUACGUCCAUGUAAUGCUGCAGCCGUCAGAGGAUAUGGUAUACCUUUGGUUUUACUCUCGUCCAUCAAAAAACCCGCCAGAGCGGUUUGGACCCCGACAGGUUUAUUUUGGAUCACAAAGAUCAACUUGCCACAACUUGCCAAAGUCCGUCUUAGAUGUCUCAUCCAAGCGGAUGUUGAACAAUACGAGCCCCCGGAGUCAUGCCUUCCACUUGAAGAGCCACUGCUUCCAGUCACCAUGACUCAUGUUUCCACUUACUCACAUACACAGCAUCCAGGUGUAAGUUGUGGAGACAGCAAUUCUAAGCAGAGAUACCCAGACCUGCCUCUCCUCAGCCACUUCCUCCAGCUCUUCUUGGGGGACACCAGGCCAUUCCCAAGAGGCACGAGCCCCCCAGUGUGUCCUGGUCUACCCAGGGGUCUCCUCCCAGGUGGACAUGCCUGAAACAGCUCACCUUCUAGUUGCCCCUGAAGGCAUCGCAGUCAGAUGUAGCGGGCCUACUUUGAGCUCAUUUCCAAGACUAUUACCCACGAUCUUCUUCAGUCAUUAAUCACAGCUCGUGGCCAUCAGUCGAGCAGUAAAUCAACAGCUUUGCUUUCAUGCUCAGCUCUUGGUGCAGCAUCCACUUUAUGAGACCCUCCACCUUUUGGCUGCGAUUCUAAGCAGAGCUGCCGAAAGAGAGCUUCCCCGAGUAGCAACUGAACAGAACACUGGUAAGUAAAGCAGCGAGGCUCUGCAGAUUUUCUGUGCUGCUGUCAAAUAAUAAUUCCCAGCAUUUCUCCGCUGAAUCAGCACAUUUGCAGGCAUGAUUCACCCUCCCGUCCUCCUUGGUGCUUGUUUGUACCGAGAACCCUCACGAACGGAAUGUGGACAACUUUGUGCAAAUUGGAGCACGUCACACACGUCUGUGUUUUGGAAAUGAACUUUAGUGCCUCGUGUACAUCUCGAGUAAGAAAACUUGGUCAGGCACAGAUCGGAUACCAAACAGGAAAAAACACCAACCUUUUAAUACCAAUGCAAAUACUCUGAAUGUGCUAUUGAGCAAUGCAGUCAACCUAAACAAUAAAAAGUGUUAUUAAGGAGCUUUCAGCAUCUCUUUGCAUGGUACAAAAUGAGCAGCAGGAAAGUGACUAAGCAUGUCGCUCUCUCUGGAGGCUGAAAUAAAACAGAGAAGCAAAUGAGACAAAAACAUACAGCUUGACCACCGACUGUUUUAAUUCCUCUGACGUAAAUGAAUGACACUCAUGGGAAACAUCUUACAAAACUUCCUCAUGCACCAGUUACAAAAGUACAAACUGAAACAAGACUCCCUCUUUCUUUCACAACACAGCUUUGGUUGAAGCUGGGUUAUUUUCAGGUUAGACCGCCAUUAUUUUCCCUUAUAAUGUUUUCCAGCACAUCACAACAAAGACAGUCACGAGGUGCGAACACGUGAUAGCGAGUGCCGUUUAGUACACGGAGCAGCUUGGAAACCAUAUGAUUUACUGUAAAUGUUAAGACACCCUGGAAUGUUACACGACAAGAAUAAGGAAGCGGACCAGGAAUUCCUUUCAUAUUCAGCCGGGCUGUCAUAUCAGAGCUUUCUGUCCAAUUAUGGCCAUUUUAUGAAUUUCAGAUAGUGAAUAAAAGACCAACAAAAAAAAUGAGUCAGAUGAUGAAAGUCAGACGGUUUAAAAACCUGUGUCAGCUCCGUCUUUCCUCACAUCUACACAGGCAGAAACUUUAACGACCCACGCGGCCACAACAGGACCAUUUACGUGAAACUCCAGGUCGAAAUAAACCCGUGUUUUUUCUUUAACCCCACUGAUGUCAACAAUCCAUUUACAGCACAAAUCACAAACUGUUUCAUUGUAGUUGUUGCUUCAUAUUCGUCUGUGUGCCUCACAGCCUGUUGCACCAGCUGUGUUUAGGUUUGCACAUUUCCUGCAAUUUCUUUUAGCGAUUUUGCAAUUAGCUACAGUCAUGGUAACGAGAAAGCACACCCUCUAUCACUUCUUAAGUUUUAAAUA